GCCGACGUGGUGGAAUUGGUAGACACGCUAUCUUGAGGGGGUAGUGACGAAAGUCGUCCCGGUUCGAGUCCGGGCGUCGGCACCA
This 85-nucleotide transfer RNA is filed under the name Granulosicoccaceae sp. 1_MG-2023. RNAcentral describes it as "tRNA-Leu". It matches the Rfam family "tRNA". Rfam says of the family: Transfer RNA (tRNA) molecules are approximately 80 nucleotides in length. Their secondary structure includes four short double-helical elements and three loops (D, anti-codon, and T loops). The record is from RNAcentral. Lineage: Bacteria; Pseudomonadati; Pseudomonadota; Gammaproteobacteria; Chromatiales; Granulosicoccaceae.